GAGCAGGUGCGAAAGCAGGUCAUAGUGAUCCGGUGGUUCUGAAUGGAAGGGCCAUCGCUCAACGGAUAAAAGGUACUCCGGGGAUAACAGGCUGAUACCGCCCAAGAGUUCAUAUCGACGGCGGUGUUUGGCACCUCGAUGUCGGCUCAUCACAUCCUGGGGCUGAAGUAGGUCCCAAGGGUAUGGCUGUUCGCCAUUUAAAGUGGUACGCGAGCUGGGUUUAGAACGUCGUGAGACAGUUCGGUCCCUAUCUGCCGUGGGCGCUGGAGAACUGAGGGGGGCUGCUCCUAGUACGAGAGGACCGGAGUGGACGCAUCACUGGUGUUCGGGUUGUCAUGCCAAUGGCACUGCCCGGUAGCUAAAUGCGGAAGAGAUAAGUGCUGAAAGCAUCUAAGCACGAAACUUGCCCCGAGAUGAGUUCUCCCUGAGACUUAAAGUCUCCUGAAGGAACGUUGAAGACGACGACG
Molecule: ribosomal RNA, 467 nt
Filed under: Salmonella enterica
Lineage: Bacteria; Pseudomonadati; Pseudomonadota; Gammaproteobacteria; Enterobacterales; Enterobacteriaceae
Description: partial 23S ribosomal RNA
Rfam family: Bacterial large subunit ribosomal RNA
Source: RNAcentral